GGAACGCCCAAGCUAGAGUGCAGGAGAGGAAGGUGAAUUUCCCGGUGUAGCGGUGAAAUGCGUAGAGAUCGGGAGGAAUACCAGUGGCGAAGGCGGCCUUCUGGCCUGACACUGACACUGAGGUGCGAAAGCGUGGGUAGCAAACAGGAUUAGAUACCCUGGUAGUCCACGCCGUAAACGAUGUCGACUAGCCGUUGGGACCUUUAAGGACUUAGUGGCGCAGUUAACGCGAUAAGUCGACCGCCUGGGGAGUACGGCCGCAAGGUUAAAACUCAAAUGAAUUGACGGGGGCCCGCACAAGCGGUGGAGCAUGUGGUUUAAUUCGAUGCAACGCGAAGAACCUUACCUACCCUUGACAUCCUGCGAACCCGGAAGAGAUUCCGGGGUGCCUUCGGGAACGCAGUGACAGGUGCUGCAUGGCUGUCGUCAGCUCGUGUUGUGAAAUGUUGGGUUAAGUCCCGUAACGAGCGCAACCCUUGUCCUUAUUUGCCAGCGAUUCGGUCGGGAACUCUAAGGAGACUGCCGGUGACAAACCGGAGGAAGGUGGGGACGACGUCAAGUCAUCAUGGCCCUUACGGGUAGGGCUACACACGUGCUACAAUGGCCGGUACAAAGGGUUGCGAGACCGCGAGGUGGAGCGAAUCCCAUAAAGCCGGCCUCAGUCCGGAUCGGAGUCUGCAACUCGACUCCGUGAAGUCGGAAUCGCUAGUAAUCGUGAAUCAGAAUGUCACGGUGAAUACGUUCCCGGGCCUUGUACACACCGCCCGUCACACCAUGGGAGUGGACUGCACCAGAAGUGGUUAGCUUAACCUUCGGGAGAGCGAUCACCACGGUGUGGUUCAUGACUGGGGUGAAGUCGUAACAAGGUAACC
Molecule: ribosomal RNA, 872 nt
Filed under: uncultured bacterium
Lineage: Bacteria
Description: bacterial SSU rRNA
Rfam family: Bacterial small subunit ribosomal RNA
Source: RNAcentral